Molecule: ribosomal RNA, 373 nt
Filed under: uncultured organism
Description: partial 16S ribosomal RNA
Rfam family: Bacterial small subunit ribosomal RNA
Source: RNAcentral
GUAGGUGGCAAGCGUUGUCCGGAAUUAUUGGGCGUAAAGCGCGCGCAGGCGGUUCUUUAAGUCUGAUGUGAAAGCCCACGGCUCAACCGUGGAGGGUCAUUGGAAACUGGAGAACUUGAGUACAGAAGAGGAAAGCGGAAUUCCACGUGUAGCGGUGAAAUGCGUAGAGAUGUGGAGGAACACCAGUGGCGAAGGCGGCUUUCUGGUCUGUAACUGACGCUGAGGCGCGAAAGCGUGGGGAGCAAACAGGGAUUAGAUACCCUGGUAGUCCACGCCGUAAACGAUGAGUGCUAAGUGUUAGGGGGGUUUCCGCCCCCUUAGUGCUGCAGCUAACGCAUUAAGCACUCCGCCUGGGGAUACGGCCGCAAGGCUA